UUGAACGCUGGCGGCAUGCUUUACACAUGCAAGUCGAACGGCAGCGCGGGGCAACCUGGCGGCGAGUGGCGAACGGGUGAGUAAUAUAUCGGAACGUGCCCAAGAGUGGGGGAUAACGUAGCGAAAGUUACGCUAAUACCGCAUACGAUCUAUGGAUGAAAGCGGGGGAUUCGCAAGAACCUCGUGCUCCUGGAGCGGCCGAUAUCUGAUUAGCUAGUUGGUGGGGUAAAGGCUCACCAAGGCGACGAUCAGUAGCUGGUCUGAGAGGACGACCAGCCACACUGGAACUGAGACACGGUCCAGACUCCUACGGGAGGCAGCAGUGGGGAAUUUUGGACAAUGGGGGCAACCCUGAUCCAGCAAUGCCGCGUGAGUGAAGAAGGCCUUCGGGUUGUAAAGCUCUUUUGUCAGGGAAGAAAAGGGUACGGCGAAUAACCGUGCCUCAUGACGGUACCUGAAGAAUAAGCACCGGCUAACUACGU
Molecule: ribosomal RNA, 482 nt
Filed under: uncultured bacterium
Lineage: Bacteria
Description: bacterial SSU rRNA
Rfam family: Bacterial small subunit ribosomal RNA
Source: RNAcentral